Molecule: long non-coding RNA, 296 nt
Filed under: Medicago truncatula (barrel medic)
Lineage: Eukaryota; Viridiplantae; Streptophyta; Magnoliopsida; Fabales; Fabaceae
Description: long non-coding RNA (MTRU_LNC002816)
Source: RNAcentral
GUUUCCAUAGCGACUUCAUUUUGCACUUGUGAAGCUGAGUUGGUCCAGAUUUCAUUAACGAAGUCAUCGUCAUUAAACCCUGCUGCCAGAUUUUCUAUGGUAUUUGUUUGUGAAUUUGGCCAUUGAGGUGCAUAGCUUGUUUGGGGAUAGUUGACAAAGUGUGGAGGGGUUGGUAGGUUGAACGAGGAGUAUUGUGAUUGGUCUGGAUAACUGGUUUGUGUGGUGUAUUGAGUUGGAUUGUAGUCAUCAAAUGAAUAGUUUGAUGUUCGAGAGCUUUCUCCAUGAUGACUUUGUUG